Molecule: long non-coding RNA, 267 nt
Filed under: Lathyrus oleraceus (garden pea)
Lineage: Eukaryota; Viridiplantae; Streptophyta; Magnoliopsida; Fabales; Fabaceae
Description: Pisum sativum (pea) long non-coding RNA (PSAT_LNC023991)
Source: RNAcentral
AAAAAAGGGGUUGAGAUAGGAGAGAAACACCAUAGUCAUAAAAAUAGCUUGCUUGCUGGAAAUUUAAGGUAGGGGAACUACUCUAAUAAUGGGUGUCAAAUGCACGAAGGGUAGUGAGGGCCCUUACCCUCAUCUAGGUUUUUCUUUCUUUCUAUUGUUGAUAAUGGUGUGUUAUUAAUAUUAAUUGGUGAUGAGUCUGUUAUGAUUGGUGAUAUUAAUAUGAAUUUCAUGUGUUGUAAUUGUGUUAGUUGUUGUUCAUGAUAAUUU